This 252-nucleotide ribosomal RNA is filed under the name uncultured bacterium. Its description in RNAcentral is "partial 16S ribosomal RNA". It matches the Rfam family "Bacterial small subunit ribosomal RNA", at positions 524 to 776 of the family's 1533-position model. The record is from RNAcentral.
UACGUAGGUCCCGAGCGUUGCCCGGAUUUAUUGGGCGUAAAGCGAGCGCAGGUGGUUUAUUAAGUCUGGUGUAAAAGGCAGUGGCUCAACCAUUGUAUGCAUUGGAAACUGGUUGACUUGAGUGCAGGAGAGGAGAGUGGAAUUCCAUGUGUAGCGGUGAAAUGCGUAGAUAUAUGGAGGAACACCGGUGGCGAAAGCGGCUCUCUGGCCUGUAACUGACACUGAGGCUCGAAAGCGUGGGGAGCAAACAGG